RNAcentral lists this ribosomal RNA (855 nucleotides) under Triticum aestivum (bread wheat). RNAcentral's name for it is "partial small subunit ribosomal RNA". Lineage: Eukaryota; Viridiplantae; Streptophyta; Magnoliopsida; Poales; Poaceae. The record is from RNAcentral.
AUGGGUGAGGCGCUCGGGAUCCUCCUGUAUAUACUAAUGGUAGGUUUUUUGUUGUUGUGGUGGUAUUCGGCCUUGUGCUGGUCUGGCGUGAUGCCGAUGGAGUGUUGGCCGCCGUCGCUCGCGCGCAGCGUUCGGUGGCUGUCGACCUCGUCUUCUGCUUCGUCUCCUUGGUGGAGGCAAAAGGGAGGCGGCGGAUCCGACGCUAGCUCCCCCAAUAAGCGCGUGGCUGCCUCAGUUCGAGCCGCUCUGGUGUUCUCCCGUCUUGCUUCUAGCCGUCAUGGUGGCGGCAAGGGAAGAGGUGGGAUGGCGCGGCGGGGCUCGAGUCUCUGGUGGGUGUUCUCGCUGGAUCUGAGCUUCCAGCGAGAUUGUCCGGCCCUGAUCUGCUGGAGGGCCUCCAGCGUGCCGCCUGCUGCUGCUUCCAUCGCGGUGAUGGAGCGCUGGAGGUGGUCACAAGGGAAGCUGGAUGUCGCUGAUGGAGUUCGUGAGCUCACUCGGCGGUGGAUUUGGAGAAACUGUGGCGCCCUUGCUGGUCGCUGCCCGGUUGAUUCCGACAAGCCGCCGUAUCCUCAGGUCGAAGGGCGACCAUUUGCAUUCCUCCCGGCCAUGGAGCCAAAGGGGAGGCAGGACUGCUUCACGGUGGAGUCCAUGGCAUGGAGUCAUGGAGGUCUCGCUGGCCCAAGUGGUGCCGUCCCCGGCGCCGGCGAGGCGGGUUCCAGCGGGGAGCAGAAUCGGACUCGAUCGCAAUCUUCUUCCUUUGUUCGAGGUCUUUUUUGCAAUUUGCAGGGUCUUGUUUGUAAUUGUCCGUGUCUUUGGGGUCCUGUUGCUAAAUGUACCCCAUGCUUAUCUAAUGAAUAA